GCUGAUCCCCUUCGGGGGUGACGCUUGUGGAAUGAGCGGCGGACGGGUGAGUAACACGUGGGCAACCUGCCUGUAAGACUGGGAUAACCCCGGGAAACCGGGGCUAAUACCGGAUAAUACUUUCUUUUGCAUAAAGGAAAGUUGAAAGGCGGCUUCGGCUGUCACUUACAGAUGGGCCCGCGGCGCAUUAGCUAGUUGGUGAGGUAACGGCUCACCAAGGCGACGAUGCGUAGCCGACCUGAGAGGGUGAUCGGCCACACUGGGACUGAGACACGGCCCAGACUCCUACGGGAGGCAGCAGUAGGGAAUCUUCCGCAAUGGACGAAAGUCUGACGGAGCAACGCCGCGUGAGUGAUGAAGGUUUUCGGAUCGUAAAACUCUGUUGUUAGGGAAGAACAAGUUGGGUAGUAACUGACCUAACCUUGACGGUACCUAACCAGAAAGCCACGGCUAACUACGUGCCAGCAGCCGCGGUAAUACGUAGGUGGCAAGCGUUGUCCGGAAUUAUUGGGCGUAAAGCGCUCGCAGGCGGUCCUUUAAGUCUGAUGUGAAAUCUCGCGGCUCAACCGCGAACGGUCAUUGGAAACUGGAGGACUUGAGUACAGAAGAGGAGAGUGGAAUUCCACGUGUAGCGGUGAAAUGCGUAGAGAUGUGGAGGAACACCAGUGGCGAAGGCGACUCUCUGGUCUGUAACUGACGCUGAGGAGCGAAAGCGUGGGGAGCGAACAGGAUUAGAUACCCUGGUAGUCCACGCCGUAAACGAUGAGUGCUAGGUGUUAGGGGGUUUCCGCCCCUUAGUGCUGAAGUAACGCAUAAGCAC
Molecule: ribosomal RNA, 820 nt
Filed under: Oceanobacillus picturae
Lineage: Bacteria; Bacillati; Bacillota; Bacilli; Caryophanales; Bacillaceae
Description: bacterial SSU rRNA
Rfam family: Bacterial small subunit ribosomal RNA
Source: RNAcentral